UACAGAGGUCUCAAGCGUUGUUCGGAUUCAUUGGGCGUAAAGGGUGCGUAGGCGGCGCGGUAAGUUGGGUGUGAAAUCUUGGAGCUUAACUCCGAAACUGCAUUCGAUACUGCCGUGCUUGAGGACUGGAGAGGAGACUGGAAUUUACGGUGUAGCGGUGAAAUGCGUAGAUAUCGUAAGGAAGACCAGUGGCGAAGGCGGGUCUCUGGACAGUUCCUGACGCUGAGGCACGAAGGCCAGGGGAGCAAACGGG
RNAcentral lists this ribosomal RNA (253 nucleotides) under uncultured bacterium. Its description in RNAcentral is "partial 16S ribosomal RNA". It matches the Rfam family "Bacterial small subunit ribosomal RNA", at positions 524 to 776 of the family's 1533-position model. The record is from RNAcentral.